GUGUAUCGAAAUCUAUCUACAUGCAGAAUGAAAUGGACUGCUUAUCAGAUUGUGCUGGUCUGUAGUUUCCCGUAAAACAUUCUUAAGCAGUGAGAAAUGGUGCAGGAAGACUAGCAUCCUUUGCUGUGAGCCAAGGUUUCUUUGCAUUAUUUUGGUCAUGAUAGAGAACCAUAUAGCUUUGAUAUUUGUUCCGAAUGCAAGCGCUCACCUAAACUUAAGCACCACCAAGAUGUGGGA
This 237-nucleotide long non-coding RNA is filed under the name Musa acuminata (dwarf banana). RNAcentral's name for it is "long non-coding RNA (MACU_LNC008742)". The record is from RNAcentral. Lineage: Eukaryota; Viridiplantae; Streptophyta; Magnoliopsida; Zingiberales; Musaceae.